AAGUAGUAGUAAUAGUAUUUAUGAAAAGAAUGAUAAAUGUUCUUUAAAUAUUUUGAUUGCAGAAAAGGCACAUAAAAUUAUAAAAAAUGGAAGAGUAUAUAAACCAAUUGAACCGAUUACAAAUUUCCAAACUCAUCAUAAGUAUCUAUCUAAAGAAAUGAUAUGGAUGAGUAUUGAUUAUUAUGAAGAAAAAAGAUGGAAAAGAAAUGUUUCACAAAGAUUUAGUUAUUUUGUAAAUAAUCAUUUUGAAGAGAAAAAAAAAAAUAGUAAACAUUUUAUAUCUUCUCAGAUAUCAAAUAGUAUUAAAAUGUUUUGGUUUUUUAUAUUAAAUGAAAUUAGGCCUGAUUUAGUACCAGUAGAAAUAGAUUAUAAAAUUAAAAAUAAGCAAGCUGUUAAAGCAGACAUUUUAAAAUCUAUUAAAAAUAAUAUACAAAUAGAAAAAUAUAAUAUGAAUAAAAUAAGUCAAGUGAAUGGCAUUAAAAGUUCACUUAGUUACAAACCGAGUGAUAACUCAUUAAUACAUGCUAUAAAUAGCAAUACUAGUACUAAUAACAGUAAUAAUAACAAUAAUGAUGGUGAUAAUAAUAAUAGUACUAGUAACAAUAAUAAUAACAGUAAUAGUAGUAAAAAUGAUGGUAAUGAUGAUGGUGAAAAAGAGCUUAGAAGAAAUAAUCUUUAUUCAAACCGAUUUAAAACGAAUGUGCUUAUUACAAGUGAUGUAUUUGACAAUGAAGGACAACAUAAUUCCUCUUUUAAUGAUAUCAGUAUAAAUCCAUCCGAUCAAGGGAAGAAUGCUAAAACAAAUAACAAACUCAGUGUUAAUAACAAAACUGAGUCAACACUACUACCAGGUAGUGAAAAACGUGACAUACAAAUGAAUAUUAAUAUUACGAACAAAAAAGAAGAUAAUAGAUGUAGGAUUGUUAUUAACCCUGGUGGAAGUAGGUAUAAAAAUUUGAAUAAAAAAAAUAUAACUACUAUUAUACAUCCUGAAAUAAUAAAGUUGAAGGACGAGAAAUAUAUGAUGGAGGAGACAUAUGGCAAUGACUAUUAUGAACAGUUUAUAAAAAAUGUGUGGGAAAAUACAAAUAAAGUAUUAAAAAAGCAUAAAUAUGACAAUAAUAGUAACAAUAAUAAUAAUAAUAGUAGCAUUUAUAAUAAUAAUAAUAAUACUUAUAAUACAGUAGCGGGAUAUAACAGUUAUUCAAAUGUGUUAGGGAAUGUUUCUGUUUACGAAAAUGAGUUUGAUUAUGAUGCAAGAAAUUGUAGUUCAUACAUGUAUUAUGAGCAUAAUGCAAUUAAUAAUAACAAUAACAAUAAUACGAGUAAUGUCAAAGAUAACCAUAUAAAAUACUUAAAUUUGAGCAACUCCUUAUACAUUUAUUGUUUUCUUUUUGUUAGUAUUUAUCUUUUAGAUGGCAAUGAACAUAUAAUAUACAAAUCGGACACAAUUUUAAGUGAAAAUGAAGAAAUGGAAUUAGAUGAUGAGUAUAAAAUAGAUACUUGUGAUAAUUACUUGAAAUUGAAACAAUUGGAAGAUAACUGUACUGAACAAGAAGAUUAUUACUUGUACAAAAAGAAAAAAAUAAAAAAAAACAAAAAACAUUCUCAUAAAAAACAUGGUUUAUAUGAACAAGUAGAGGAUGAAGAUAAAGUUGGAUCAAUAAAAGAAAAAGAAAAUAUAACAAAUAAACAAAAGGAAGCGAAAAAACACAAAGAACGAAUGAAAGAAAGUAACGUUAUUAAAUAUCAAUCUGUAAAAUCAGAAAUUAAAAGUGUGUUAGAAGGUGAUAACGAUGAUAUGUAUAAUAAAAUGAAUAGAAGUAUAUACCAAAAAAGUGCUUAUGAUAAUGAUGAUAAUAUUAUUAUUAAAAAAAAAAACACUCACACUACUAUUUAUAAUAAAAAUUAUGGGGAUUGUUAUGAAGGUGUAACAUAUGACAAUAAUUAUACCACUAGUACUACUGUUGUUAAUAAUGAAAACGACGACAGUGGAAAUUACAAUAACAUCUACAACAACUAUGAUGAAUGUAACAACUACAACUAUACUAACAACUACGAUAACGAGAACGAAAGCUACAACAAUAACAACGAACGCUACAACUACGACGACAGUGACAACAGUGACGACAACAUCAUUUUGACGUUAUCACCCAGUUCACACAACUUAGAUGUUAAAGAAUUAUUUUUAAUACCAUAUACUACUGAAAAUAUCCAGAAUAAAGAAAAUGUAACUACAGGUGUAAGUAAACAUAUAUGCGAAUACUUAAAUGAUAUUAAAGAAAAAUAUGUAAACAUUUAUAUGAACAAUAUGGAACUAUAUGGAGGUAAUAUUUACCCUUUUGAAUUUCAUUAUAUAGAUAAUUUUUAUAAAGAUAUCCAUUUACCCUUAAUGAAUUUAUCUGAAUAUGAUGAAUAUACUUUUUUUAUAUAUUUAUUUUAUUUAAAAAACGCUCAUUAUAUAUUAAAGAAACAAAUAAAAAAAGAAAAAAAAAAACGUAAAAAAGAUUUUUCAGAUAUUACUACUACGGCUUCAAAAAAAAGAACUCCGAAACGUAAAUUAAAUAAACUUGAAAACGAGAACGAAAACGAGAAUGAAAACGAGAAUGAAAACGAGAACAAGAAUGAGAAAGAAAAUAAAAACGAAAAUAAAAACGAAAAUAAAAACGAAAAUAUAAACGAAAAUAUAAACGAAAAUAUAAACGAAAAUAUAAACGAAAAUAUAAACGAAAAUAUAAAAGAGAAUAAGAAUGAAAACGAAAAUAUAAAAGAGAAUAAGAAUGAAAACGAAAAUAAAAACGAAAAUGUAAACGAAAAUGUAAACGAAAAUGUAAACGAAAAUGUAAACGAAAAUGUAAACGAAAAUGUAAACGAAAAUGUAAACGAAAAUGUAAACGAAAAUAUAAACGAGAACGAAAUAAAAAAAAAUGAUGAAUGUGAAAAGGGCAUAGCAAGUGAAAAUUUGUUAAUUAAUAUUAAAAAUGAAAAUAU
Piliocolobus tephrosceles (Ugandan red Colobus) is the source of this 2991-nucleotide long non-coding RNA. The record is from Ensembl. Lineage: Eukaryota; Metazoa; Chordata; Mammalia; Primates; Cercopithecidae.